Sphaeramia orbicularis (orbiculate cardinalfish) is the source of this 431-nucleotide long non-coding RNA. RefSeq lists it as uncharacterized. The record is from RefSeq and is a predicted model, not a curated record. The transcript has 4 exons. Lineage: Eukaryota; Metazoa; Chordata; Actinopteri; Kurtiformes; Apogonidae.
CUAUAUAUUUUGCGUCGCUGCUCUAUGACGUCCUCCGUGAAGGCGAUUCCGUAGUGAGUGAUUACUCUCUUCGAAAUGAGGGCUAAGUGGAGGAAGAAGCGCAUGCGCAGGCUGAAGCGUAAAAGGAGAAAGAUGAGGCAGAGGUCCAAGUAAACUAUCUCCGUCAUGGCUGUGAUGUCACAUUUUGUCAACGACAGACCAGUGAGCACAGCCGGAGACCCAGGACUCUCCCGGUGUUGAGUCUGAGACCAGUGGCGUCCAAAUCAACCAGAGACAGCGGCGUGGCAGCUUUGUGAUGCCCAGGGGCUGAUUGAAGACCUGCUGGAUGAUGGCCAUGUUCUCUGGGAUUUUCUGGACUGUUUGUACUUAAUUCCUCAACUUUUGUCAUUCGUUUUUGUUUAUACUGUGAUUAAAGUUUUUGGUUUUAAAUA